Felis catus (domestic cat) is the source of this 719-nucleotide long non-coding RNA. RefSeq lists it as uncharacterized. The record is from RefSeq and is a predicted model, not a curated record. The transcript has 4 exons. Lineage: Eukaryota; Metazoa; Chordata; Mammalia; Carnivora; Felidae.
UCUUCUGAAGCCUCUCUGCGCCUUGGCCUCUCACUGGCCACCCAGUUGGCCAUAUUCCCCUGAUGCUGAAACCUUCUAGGGCCAGCUGACUAAGGUGUUCACGGGAUGUGGUUUAAUUUCUCACUCGGUCUGGUGAGGAGUAUCCUCCUCCACUUGCUCAAAACCGUGCAGAGGCAGCCCCUCGUGUCAGAAGCUCCGUCUUUGGAGCCAUGUGGACCCGCUUACAGAUAAGCUGGUACUGAGACCUCCGUGCCGAGACUGAGGACAAAACCCAGCUUGCAGAGUCUCGGAGCAUGCACUCCUCUGUCACGCAAGCUAAUGAUGUGGAAGCGUCGCUGUUCUGACACAGGGGGCACCCUGACCUAGUCUAAAAGCAGACCACCACACUUGCAGCUCUGUUAUCAGUACCUCAUGCGUCCGGCAGACAUCUUCACUGCGCUUUGCCCCACCCCCUGCCAUCCCUACACUCCUUGUUCCAAAGUGGUUGCAUCAAAACAACCAAGUCAAAAUAUCUUCUCCGCAACCCUGCCCAGCCCGGCUCCGCCCUGCCCUAUCAUCAGUUUGGUGCGGCGAGGGAGACCUUUGUGAAAAGACAGGACACGUCUAGAAAAAAGACUUCAUGGGGCGUCUGGGUGGCGCAGUCGGUUAAGCGUCCGACUUCAGCCAGGUCACGAUCUCGCGGUCCGUGUGAGUUCAAGCCCCGCGUCAGGCUCUGGGCU